CUGGCCUUUCGAGGCAUGUGCACGCUCGAGCCCUUAAUCCACUUUNCACCUGUGCACUUAAUGUAGGUCGCCCUUAAAAAAGGUGACCUAUGUCUUAUCAUCAACCCAUCGUAUGUCUCAUAGAAUGUAAUCGAUAUCCUCGCCCUAAAAAAGCGUUGAUAAACUUAUACAACUUUCAACAACGGAUCUCUUGGCUCUCGCAUCGAUGAAGAACGCAGCGAAAUGCGAUAAGUAAUGUGAAUUGCAGAUUUUCAGUGAAUCAUCGAAUCUUUGAACGCACCUUGCGCUCCUUGGUAUUCCGAGGAGCAUGCCUGUUUGAGUGUCAUUAAAUUCUCAACUCCAAGGGUUUCAUGACCUUUCGGAGAUUGGACUUGGAGGUGCUGGCCGCAUAUUGGUCGGCUCCUCUCAAAUGCAUCAGCGGAAUUCAACCUUUGGCUUCCGGAUGUCAGUGUGAUAAUCAUGUUGCGCUGUCGUUUGAUCCCUCAAAGUCCGCUUAUAAUGGUCUUCGGACAAAAUCAUCAUCAAAUUUGACCUCAAAUCAGGUAGGACUACCCGCUGAACUUAAGCAUAUCAAUAAGCGGAGGAAAAGAAACUAACAAGGAUUCCCCUAGUAACUGCGAGUGAAGCGGGAAAAGCUCAAAUUUAAAAUCUGGCGGUCUUGCGGCCGUCCGAGUUGUAAUCUGGAGAAGCGUCUAUCCGCGUCGGACCGUGUACAAGUCUUCUGGAA
Molecule: ribosomal RNA, 727 nt
Filed under: Piloderma sphaerosporum
Lineage: Eukaryota; Fungi; Basidiomycota; Agaricomycetes; Atheliales; Atheliaceae
Description: eukaryotic LSU rRNA
Rfam family: 5.8S ribosomal RNA (bases 171-325)
Source: RNAcentral